GACCCCAUAGGUUCUAUUCUGACUGGUAGUGAGAAAUAUUGGAAUCUUUAUCACAAUAUCAUUGAAAACUCCUUUCAAUGGGUUGAAACAAUUCCAACUCAACUCACCAGGGAUUAUCGACCAUCGAGAUGAUCCCUAUGAGUCUCACCAUCCACCAGUGACACCUAGCAGUAUGUAGUGGCUACCCAGCAAAAUAGAAUGAUGAACCUCUAGGUGUAGUUAUCAUAUGAUAUAGUCCUUCUAUCGUGGAUCUCUACAGAUCGGAGGUCAUGGAUAACUCGUCAAACCCCGUUGUCUGUCAUAUGUCUAGAUUUAUUCGACUUGAGUCCGAUAGUGGAAAACUCUUUCUCCACUGUAUUUACUGCCCCGGCCAAGGUCUUAGAACUCAGUCUAAUAAAUCACAUAGGAUCGCUCCUCAUCUAUCAAGAUCGUUAGAUUCAAUGUAGGUGCAUACUCUACUCCUACAGUGAACCUACAACAGCCAAUCUACACUAUAAGGACCCAUAUGACUAGAGACCAUGUAUAUGCAGUCAAACUACAAUAACCUCACUGUGAGUAGCCGAAGCACCGUAGGUCAAAGGACCAGUCACACUGCUGCAACAUCAAGUAAGUCACUGAUGAGUGGAUAGAUAUCCAAGUGACUUAUUGUCUUGGUCACGCUCAGUACCCUUGUUCUCUAACAAGCACUUGCACUCUCACUUCAGUGUCCCUACACUGUGGACUCGAGUCUCGUCCAUCCAUAAGGAAAGCGAUCUGUGCACUGAUCGGAUUGAUCACCGUUCUCGUGAUGAUCCAUUGAUCAAGAGCAUUUAGAAAUUAAUCACCAAUGAUACAUGGUUCAAAUUCUCAACUCUUGAGAAUAUGUAUCAUCAUUUUAUUAAUUUCUUGGACGAUUCAUAGACACAUAAACAAUAUGAAUGAAAAGAUGCCCAUUUAUUAUUCAAUAAUAAUAAAGUCAAGUACAAAUUUAUUGCCCAGAAUUAAUAAUGUGUCUGCCAGAUUGGCUUCUAGGGCAUACAUCUAACACAGCACAGCACAGCGGCGGACAAUAGCAGCACAGCUGGAUGAAGACGGCAUGUCUGACUUCUUCCGAGGGAGGUGGCGGCGCGAAAGAAGAGAAGAAUAUGUCGUGAUGAUGGAAGAAGCUCCGGCUAAUUUUCCCUCAUUCCAUUUCAUAUUUUUUUUAUUUCCGUGGGAAGUCUUCCCAUAAUACCCAAACUACUCUCUCACUUAUGCACUCUGUGGGAUCUCAGCCUCGUAGAAGAU
This 1266-nucleotide long non-coding RNA is filed under the name Phoenix dactylifera (date palm). RNAcentral describes it as "long non-coding RNA (PDAC_LNC015216)". The record is from RNAcentral. Lineage: Eukaryota; Viridiplantae; Streptophyta; Magnoliopsida; Arecales; Arecaceae.